RNAcentral lists this ribosomal RNA (629 nucleotides) under uncultured Porphyromonadaceae bacterium. RNAcentral's name for it is "bacterial SSU rRNA". It matches the Rfam family "Bacterial small subunit ribosomal RNA", at positions 88 to 715 of the family's 1533-position model. The record is from RNAcentral. Lineage: Bacteria; Pseudomonadati; Bacteroidota; Bacteroidia; Bacteroidales; Porphyromonadaceae.
GUGGCGACCGGCGCACGGGUGAGUGACGCGUAUGCAACCUUUCUAUCAGAGGGGAAUAACCCGGCGAAAGUCGGACUAAUACCGCAUAAAACAGGGACACCGCAUGGUGAUAUUUGUUAAAGAAAUUCGCUGAUAGAUGGGCAUGCGUUCCAUUAGGUAGUUGGUGAGGUAACGGCUCACCAAGCCGACGAUGGAUAGGGGAACUGAGAGGUUGGUCCCCCACACUGGUACUGAGACACGGACCAGACUCCUACGGGAGGCAGCAGUGAGGAAUAUUGGUCAAUGGGCGAGAGCCUGAACCAGCCAAGUCGCGUGAAGGAAGAAGGAUCUAUGGUUCGUAAACUUCUUUUGCAGGGGAAUAAAGUGCAGGACGUGUCCUGUUUUGUAUGUACCCUGAGAAUAAGGAUCGGCUAACUCCGUGCCAGCAGCCGCGGUAAUACGGAGGAUCCGAGCGUUAUCCGGAUUUAUUGGGUUUAAAGGGUGCGUAGGUGGUUUGAUAAGUCAGCGGUGAAAGUUUGCAGCUUAACUGUAAAAAUGCCGUUGAAACUGUCGGACUUGAGUGUAAAUGAGGUAGGCGGAAUGCGUGGUGUAGCGGUGAAAUGCUUAGAUAUCACGAAGAACUCCGAUUG